GAUGAACGCUGGCGGCGUGCCUAAUACAUGCAAGUCGAGCGAACGGACGAGAAGCUUGCUUUUCUGAUGUUAGCGGCGGACGGGUGAGUAACACGUGGAUAACCUACCUAUAAGACUGGGAUAACUUCGGGAAACCGGAGCUAAUACCGGAUAAUAUUUUGAACCGCAUGGUUCAAAAGUGAAAGACGGUCUUGCUGUCACUUAUAGAUGGAUCCGCGCUGCAUUAGCUAGUUGGUAAGGUAACGGCUUACCAAGGCAACGAUGCAUAGCCGACCUGAGAGGGUGAUCGGCCACACUGGAACUGAGACACGGUCCAGACUCCUACGGGAGGCAGCAGUAGGGAAUCUUCCGCAAUGGUCGAAAGCCUGACGGAGCAACGCCGCGUGAGUGAUGAAGGUCUUCGGAUCGUAAAAUUCUGUUAUUAGGGAAGAACAUAUGUGUAAGUAACUGUGCACAUCUUGACGGUACCUAAUCAGAAAGCCACGGCUAACUACGUG
This 497-nucleotide ribosomal RNA is filed under the name uncultured bacterium. RNAcentral describes it as "partial 16S ribosomal RNA". It matches the Rfam family "Bacterial small subunit ribosomal RNA", at positions 28 to 507 of the family's 1533-position model. The record is from RNAcentral.